RNAcentral lists this ribosomal RNA (276 nucleotides) under uncultured prokaryote. RNAcentral's name for it is "partial 16S ribosomal RNA". It matches the Rfam family "Bacterial small subunit ribosomal RNA", at positions 524 to 801 of the family's 1533-position model. The record is from RNAcentral.
UACGUAGGGGCUAGCGUUAUCCGGAAUUACUGGGCGUAAAGGGUGCGUAGGUGGUUUCUUAAGUCAGAGGUGAAAGUCUACGGCUCAACCGUAGUAAGCCUUUGAAACUGGGAAACUUGAGUGCAGGAGAGGAGAGUGGAAUUCCUGGUGUAGCGGUGAAAUGCGUAGAUAUUAGGAGGAACACCAGUUGCGAAGGCGGCUCUCUGGACUGUAACUGACACUGAGGCACGAAAGCGUGGGGAGCAAACAGGAUUAGAUACCCUGGUAGUCCCUGAG